This is a non-coding RNA of Nicotiana tabacum (common tobacco), 945 nucleotides long. The record is from RefSeq and is a predicted model, not a curated record. Lineage: Eukaryota; Viridiplantae; Streptophyta; Magnoliopsida; Solanales; Solanaceae.
CUGAUUUUUUUUCCUUUUUGUUUUGUUCUUCUGUAAUAGUUACUUAUAAAAUACUAGUACAGUAAUAAAUAAACAAAACAUUAUUUUUCUCUUUCUAUCCCAAUCUCAUUGUAGAAAUUCUCGUCAGAAACAAGGUUCGUCCUUUUGUGUUAGUAAACAAGAAUAGAUUUUGAUUGUACCCUCGCUAAUCUUAUUAUUAAAAAAAAUCAAUUCUUUGGCAAGCUUCAUUUUGCAAAAAGAUUGGAUCUUUGUCAAGCUUCUUCUGCAAAAAAGAUCAGAUUUUUGGCAAGCUUCAUUUUGCAAAAAGAUCGGAUCUUUGACCUGCAAAAAGAUUAGAUCUUUGGGGUUUUGGCUUGAUUAGCAUAUCAGGUGCUUUAAUUGAUUCUUUUACUGUAAGAUCCGUUUCAGAAAAGUGGAAACAAAUUGAGGUUGGGUUCUGAUUUGAUUAAUUUUGUUGGACGUGGGUAGGUUUACAUAGAGGAACAUUGGGAUAAUUUGGAAUUACAUGUAAUUUUCACUUUGAUUGCUGAAUUUAAUAACAUGAGCUUAUUUCAAGUUGAGAUAAUUUGGGAAAUGUUAUUUUUCUCUACAAUAGAAAAUGAAAUGUGAGCUUCAAUUUGCUUGGAUUGCAUAUGUUGGAGGAUUAAUCUAAAUGCUAUUAAGAUGUAAGAAAACUACCAUAGUGGGUUGGCCAUGCUGCUUCAUGGAUAAAAGAUUUAUAAGGUUCAUUAUUGGUAAUAGAAGAUUUCUGAAGAUGAUGUUCUGAACCAAUAUCUUCUCUAAGCAGGUAUACUCUAGAUACUUGUUGUUUAGUCAUCUCAAGUUGGAUGUAAAACUGUUUUAACUUGCUACCGCUUUGUUUGGUAAAUCUGAUAAGCUUGUGCAUUUGUUUAAUUUGACAAACACAGUGAGACUUCUAAUGAAAUAACAUUCGCAUUAAACUUU